AGAGUUUGCAUAGAUUGACAACAUUUUGUGACGUUUUUGUUUGUUUUGGACUUCGGACUUCGGGGUUUUUCCGGCUGUUCACAAAUCUUAUUCUCGUGGCAGUCUGACGUUGGUCGACGAAGUUUGCACGUUCGUCGUGAUUGGUCUUUUAAUGGAGAAUGUGAGCACACUCGUUCGGUUCGCAUAGCCGAGUUUGACUAGGCACCAGCCAAACAGAAGCAUGAUGAAGUGUUUAGUGGGGAGUAGCCAUCAACAGAGUUCCAGACAAUGAUUCAUGGUGAGGUGGGUGAAGCAGUCCAACAAGACACUGACGUACCACAACAUCACCUGACAUGUGGGCACCAUCACCUGACAUGUGGGCACCAUCACCUGACAUGUGGGCAACAUCACCUGACAUGUGGGCAACAUCACCUGACAUGUGGGCACCAUCACCUGACAUGUGGGCACCAUCAGCUGACAUGUGGGCACCAUCACCUGACAUGUGGGCACCAUCACCUGACAUGUGGGCACCAUCACCUGACAUG
Long non-coding RNA from Oncorhynchus gorbuscha (pink salmon), 524 nucleotides. RefSeq lists it as uncharacterized. The transcript has 3 exons. NCBI's taxonomy places the organism in Eukaryota, Metazoa, Chordata, Actinopteri, Salmoniformes, Salmonidae. The record is from RefSeq and is a predicted model, not a curated record.